ACUCCUACGGGAGGCAGCAGUGGGGAAUAUUGCACAAUGGGCGCAAGCCUGAUGCAGCCAUGCCGCGUGUAUGAAGAAGGCCUUCGGGUUGUAAAGUACUUUCAGCAGUGAGGAAGGUGGGUAUGUUAAUAGCAUACUCAUUUGACGUUAGCUGCAGAAGAAGCACCGGCUAACUCCGUGCCAGCAGCCGCGGUAAUACGGAGGGUGCGAGCGUUAAUCGGAAUUACUGGGCGUAAAGCGCAUGCAGGUGGUUUGUUAAGUCAGAUGUGAAAGCCCGGGGCUCAACCUCGGAAUUGCAUUUGGAACUGGCAAACUAGAGUACUGUAGAGGGGGGUAGAAUUUCAGGUGUAGCGGUGAAAUGCGUAGAGAUCUGAAGGAAUACCGGUGGCGAAAGGCGGCCCCCUGGACAGAUACUGACACUCAGAUGCGAUAGCUGGGGAGCAAACAGGAUUAGAUACCCUGGUAAGGCUCUGC
Molecule: ribosomal RNA, 474 nt
Filed under: uncultured bacterium
Lineage: Bacteria
Description: bacterial SSU rRNA
Rfam family: Bacterial small subunit ribosomal RNA
Source: RNAcentral